RNAcentral lists this ribosomal RNA (2111 nucleotides) under Clostridium fallax. Its description in RNAcentral is "bacterial LSU rRNA". It matches the Rfam family "Bacterial large subunit ribosomal RNA", at positions 717 to 2925 of the family's 2925-position model. Lineage: Bacteria; Bacillati; Bacillota; Clostridia; Eubacteriales; Clostridiaceae. The record is from RNAcentral.
GAAACCGGGUGACCUAUCCAUGGCCAGGUUGAAGCGAGAGUAAAAUCUCGUGGAGGACCGAACCACGUUGGUGUUGAAAAACCAUGGGAUGAGCUGUGGAUAGCGGAGAAAUUCCAAUCGAACUCGGAGAUAGCUGGUUCUCCUCGAAAUAGCUUUAGGGCUAGCGUCGGAUAUGAGUAAUGGAGGUAGAGCACUGAAUGGGCUAGGGGGCAUAGCGCUUACCGAACCUUAUCAAACUCCGAAUGCCAUAUACUAUUAAGUCCGGCAGUCAGACUGCGAAUGAUAAGAUCCGUGGUCAAAAGGGAAACAGCCCAGAUCGUCAGCUAAGGUCCCAAAGUGUAAGUUAAGUGGAAAAGGAUGUGGGAUUUCUAAGACAACUAGGAUGUUGGCUUAGAAGCAGCCACUCAUUUAAAGAGUGCGUAAUAGCUCACUAGUCGAGAGAUCCUGCGCCGAAAAUGUUCGGGGCUCAAACUUACCACCGAAGCUACGGGCUUAAGUUAAACUUAAGCGGUAGAGGAGCGUCGUAAUCGGGCUGAAGUCGUACCGGAAGGAGCGGUGGACUGAUUACGAGUGAGAAUGUUGGCAUUAGUAGCGAGAUGUGAGUGAGAAUCUCACAGGCCGAAAACCUAAGGUUUCCUCAGGAAGGCUCGUCCGCUGAGGGUUAGUCGGGACCUAAGCCGAGGCCGAAAGGCGUAGGUGAUGGACAAUCGGUUGAUAUUCCGAUACCACUAUUAAUCGUUAAAACCGAAGGCGUAACGCAGGAGGAUAGGAUGUGCUAGCUAUUGGAUGCUAGUCUAAGCACUUAGGGAGUUCAGCAAGGCAAAUCCGGCUGAACAAUUCUGAGGUGUGAUGGGGAAGGAACUACGGUUCCGAAGUAUCUGAUUCCACGCUGCCAAGAAAAGCGUCUAGGGAGAGAGGUAGUGCCCGUACCGCAAACCGACACAGGUAGGUGAGGAGAGAAUCCUAAGGCCGGCGGAAGAAUCACAGUUAAGGAACUCGGCAAAUUGACCCCGUAACUUAGGGAGAAGGGGUGCCUACGCAAGUAGGCCGCAGAGAAUAGGCCCAAGCAACUGUUUAGCAAAAACACAGGUCUCUGCUAAAGCGAAAGCUGAUGUAUAGGGGCUGACGCCUGCCCGGUGCUGGAAGGUUAAGGGGAAUACUUAGCGCAAGCGAAGGUAUGAACUUAAGCCCCAGUAAACGGCGGCCGUAACUAUAACGGUCCUAAGGUAGCGAAAUUCCUUGUCAGGUAAGUUCUGACCCGCACGAAUGGCGUAAUGACUUGGGCACUGUCUCAACUGUGAAUCCGGCGAAGUUGUAGUACGAGUGAAGAUGCUCGUUACCCGCGAUUGGACGGAAAGACCCCGUAGAGCUUUACUGUAGCUUAGCAUUGAAUUUCGGUAUUGUCUGUACAGGAUAGGUGGGAGACUAGGAAGUCAGGGCGUCAGCCUUGAUGGAGUCAUCCUUGGGAUACCACCCUGACAGUACUGAGGUUCUAACUGGAUGCCAUGAAACUGGUGACAGGACAUUGUUAGGUGGGCAGUUUGACUGGGGCGGUCGCCUCCUAAAAAGUAACGGAGGCGCCCAAAGGUUCCCUCAGAACGGUCGGAAAUCGUUCGAAGAGUGCAAAGGCAGAAGGGAGCCUGACUGCGACACCCACAAGUGGAGCAGGGACGAAAGUCGGGCUUAGUGAUCCGGUGGUACCUCGUGGGAGGGCCAUCGCUCAACGGAUAAAAGCUACCUCGGGGAUAACAGGCUGAUCUCCUCCUAAACCUUUAACUUUAAGUGGAAUAAAUUUUGGAGAAAAUAUAACAGGUCCCUUUUUACCUUAUGGUAGUGGGGAAUAAAAGGACAAAUUAUAAAUAGUAAUUUUCCGGGAAAUGGAGUAGUUAUUAAAUAUUCUUUAAAAAAUAAAAAAAGCAAUUUAUUUAGUUGGGGUAUAAAAAAUAUUAAGUCUUGGGAUACUAAUUCAAAAGGUGAAAUUUAUUCUAUAAUAGAGGGAAUGGAUAAUAUAGGAGUAAGAGCUAUAGAAGGAGAUAAUGAUUAUUUAUAUAAAUUAGAAGAAAAUAAAUGGUAUGGGUGGCCUGAUUAUAGUGGUGGAGAACCUAUAACAU